GGCUUACACUAUCUCUGAUGGUCACCCCUUUCGCACCGGUUAGUAGGACACUUUCGUGCACGUUGAGCAGUUAUUCGUUUGAAUGGUGAACGAAUUCUUCUGUUGCUCAAAAGAACAACAAUGUUUUCCUCUUCCAUCCAAUUCUGAUAUCUCGUCUUCCUGCCGUACAUCGGCCGUUCAUCUCGCCGUUUUCUAAAAUUGCGGCCCCUGCUGAUUUAGAAUUACCGAUCUCAGUUGUAUUCAACAACGCAAUGGAGUCCGUUACAAUUUUGUCGGUCAAUGGUAAGCGCGCCAGCUCAUCUAGCAGUAGCAGUUCCAGUUCCAGUUCCAGUGAAUCGGGUGCGCCAAAGCUGGAUGUCAGCCAAAUGGAUGACCGCGGCAGAAACAAUUCUGCGUUUCGUAACGAUGAGGACGACAUUCCCCCAAACCAGACCUAUUAUGCAGAUGAACUGAUCGACGUACCCGAUUUGGGAAAAAAAUCGUUUAGCUUCCGCACCCUUUGGGCUUUCACCGGCCCGGGCUUUCUGAUGAGUAUUGCUUAUUUAGAUCCAGGCAACAUUGAAUCCGAUUUACAGUCGGGAGUGGUGGCUGGCUACAAGUUAUUGUGGGUGCUUAUGACGGCAACAAUCAUGGGACUGUUGGUUCAGCGUUUGGCUAUCCGAUUGGGGAUGGUUACGGGCCUGCAUUUGGCAGAGAUGUGCUACAAACAAUAUCCGAAAGUGCCCCGCCUUAUAUUGUGGAUUAUGGCCGAGAUUGCCAUUAUUGGAUCUGAUAUUCAGGAAGUCAUCGGCACAUCACUGGCCAUUUACAUUCUCUCGGAUCAAGCAGUUCCCAUCUGGGGAGGUGUCCUCAUUACAGUUUUCGACACGUUUACAUUCUUGCUACUUGACAAAUAUGGUUUACGCAAGUUGGAGCUUUUCUUCGGCUUCCUCAUUACUGUCAUGGCCAUCACUUUUGGAUACGAAUACGUUCACGACCCGCCACCGCAAAUCGAAGUCAUCAAAGGCCUCUUCAUUCCAGGCUGCGCCGGUUGCGGUCCUGAAGGUGUUCUCCGAGCUGUGGGGAUUGUCGGUGCUGUCAUCAUGCCUCACAAUCUCUUUCUCCAUUCGGCUCUAGUCAAAUCGCGUAAAGUUGAUCGCAAAGACAAGCAUUCAGUGCAGCAAGCGAACAUGUAUUUCUUCGUCGAGUCGUGCAUAGCUUUGCUGAUUUCGUUCAUUAUUAACAUUUUCGUCGUCUGCGUUUUUGCCUACGGACUCUUUGGCAAAACCAAUCAAGAUGUGCAAGACUUGUGUGCGAAUAGUACGUCAUCGUCCUCAGAACAAGAAAUCGAGGAAUUCUUCCCGGCCAACAAUGAAACUGUUGAUGCCGACAUUUACCGCGCUGGACUGUUCUUGGGCUGCCAAUACGGAGACGCAGCCAGGUACAUUUGGGCUGUCGGAAUUCUUGCGGCAGGUCAGUCUUCUACGAUGACGGGAACGUACAGUGGCCAGUUUGUUAUGGAGGGGUUCUUGAAUUUGCACUGGGCUCGCUGGAAGAGAGUAUUGCUUACGCGUACGAUCGCCAUCGCACCAACUCUUUUCUUGGCCAUCUUCGCUGACAUUCAACAGUUGACUGGACUGAAUGACUAUCUCAACGCUGUCAUGAGUUUGCAGUUGCCUUUCGCCCUGAUUCCCACGUUGACGUUUACCAGUUCGCCGAAAAUUAUGGGCGACUUUGUUAACGGGCUGUUCAACAAGAUUCUCCUCGCCAUUUUGGCGGUGGUCGUCGUAGGCAUCAAUCUCUUUUUCGUGGUUGUAACCAUUGAUGAAAACCUGCCUCACCACUGGGCGAUAUACACUGCAUUUGGAAUUUUCGGCGUUCUCUACAUGACCCUGGUCGGGUAUUUAGUUCUUCAUUUAAUCGACGCCUUUGGUGGACGUUGCUGCUCUCGACUACCGUAUGAGAGAUUGACAGUUCACAAAGGAGAUGGUGACGAAACAGCACCGUUUGCGUUCGCUGUUGAUCAGUACUCGGGGAAUCGAGUCAAUUAAAAUGCUUGGAGGGUAUAACUGGACUGGUCGACCAAAACCAAUAUCAUCUAACGACAAACGAAUUGACAGAAGCUUCUUCUUUAGCUAGCAUCCACUCCAUGGGAACUAGAUUAUCAAUUGAUAAGAACGGACUGAAACAUAAUGGUGAUGACGC
Molecule: unclassified non-coding RNA, 2184 nt
Filed under: Daphnia magna
Lineage: Eukaryota; Metazoa; Arthropoda; Branchiopoda; Diplostraca; Daphniidae
Description: natural resistance-associated macrophage protein 2, transcript variant X1
Source: RNAcentral